This 253-nucleotide ribosomal RNA is filed under the name uncultured bacterium. RNAcentral describes it as "partial 16S ribosomal RNA". It matches the Rfam family "Bacterial small subunit ribosomal RNA", at positions 524 to 776 of the family's 1533-position model. The record is from RNAcentral.
GACAGAGGUGCCAAGCGUUAGGCGGAAUCACUGGGCUUAAAGCGUGUGUAGGCGGACUUGUAAGUACCUUGUGAAAUCCCACGGCUCAACCGUGGAACUGCUUGGUAUACUGCUUGUCUUGAGCCACUUAGGGGCUACCGGAACAAAUGGUGGAGCGGUGAAAUGCGUAGAUAUCAGGAAGAACACCAAUGGCGAAGGCAGCUCUCUGGGACGGUACUGACGCUGAGACGCGAAAGCGUGGGGAGCGAACAGG